RNAcentral lists this ribosomal RNA (245 nucleotides) under uncultured bacterium. RNAcentral's name for it is "partial 16S ribosomal RNA". It matches the Rfam family "Bacterial small subunit ribosomal RNA", at positions 524 to 768 of the family's 1533-position model. The record is from RNAcentral.
UACGGAGGGUGCGAGCGUUGUUCGGAUUUAUUGGGCGUAAAGCGCGUGUAGGCGGUCUUUUAAGUCUGAUGUGAAAGCCCUGGGCUCAACCUGGGAAGCGCAUUGGAAACUGGGAGACUUGAAUACGGGAGAGGGUAGUGGAAUUCCUGGUGUAGGAGUGAAAUCCGUAGAUAUCAGGAGGAACACCGGUGGCGAAGGCGGCUACCUGGACCGAUAUUGACGCUGAGACGCGAAAGCGUGGGGAG